CCCUGAUACAUCACAAGUCUUCUUCACUGUCCUUCAAGUAAUUCUAAUGACAACAGAUCACUCUUAACCACAGUAUGUGUCUCUGCUUAAUCAGAUAAGGUCUGCUUACAUACAUCAACAUUUUCACUGACUCAAACAAGAUGAAAAACAACUGUGAGACAGCAGAUAGGAGAAAGUGAGGAAAGUUACAUUGGAAGAUCUCCUCCAAAGAAGAGAUUUUAUCAGAUUUACAGGAAGAAAAAGAGCAAUAUAUCAUGGAGUGAUGGAAGAAAGAAAGGGAAGCAAAAUACAGAUGCAGAGUAUAGCUAACUGGUGAU
Molecule: long non-coding RNA, 317 nt
Filed under: Chinchilla lanigera (long-tailed chinchilla)
Lineage: Eukaryota; Metazoa; Chordata; Mammalia; Rodentia; Chinchillidae
Description: lncRNA (ENSCLAG00000023930.1)
Source: RNAcentral